UUACUUUUGAGGGGAAAACCUAAGCUAGGGC
This 31-nucleotide non-coding RNA is filed under the name Homo sapiens (human). The record is from RNAcentral. Lineage: Eukaryota; Metazoa; Chordata; Mammalia; Primates; Hominidae.